CCUACGGGUGGCAGCAGUGAGGAAUAUUGGUCAAUGGGCGCGAGCCUGAACCAGCCAAGUAGCGUGAAGGAUGACUGCCCUACGGGUUGUAAACUUCUUUUAUAAGGGAAUAAAGUGAGGCACGUGUGCCUUUUUGUAUGUACUUUAUGAAUAAGGAUCGGCUAACUCCGUGCCAGCAGCCGCGGUAAUACGGAGGAUCCGAGCGUUAUCCGGGUUUAUUGGGGUUAAAGGGGGCGUAGAUGGGUUGUUAAGUCAGUUGUGAAAGUCUGCGGCUCAACCGUAAAAUUGCAAUGGAUACUGGCAGUCUUGAGUACAGUAGAGGUAGGCGGAAUUCGUGGUGUAGCGGUGAAAUGCUUAGAUAUCACGAAGAACUCCGAUUGCGAAGGCAGCCUACUAGACUGCCACUGACACUGAGGCUCGAAAGUGUGGGUAUCAAACAGGAUUAGAUACCCUAGUAGUC
RNAcentral lists this ribosomal RNA (460 nucleotides) under uncultured bacterium. RNAcentral's name for it is "partial 16S ribosomal RNA". It matches the Rfam family "Bacterial small subunit ribosomal RNA", at positions 338 to 795 of the family's 1533-position model. The record is from RNAcentral.